AUGCGUCUGGACUUCGAUCACCGGCUCUACGCAGGCCUGCGUGUCUCUAUAAUUGCUUCUCGUUAUCUCGCGCUAAAAACAAAGCCAAGACCUAAAGGCAAACUCACUUUCCUCGUCCUUGUGCCGUCGUGCUGUCCCUGGCACUUUCCGGAGUCUUCCACGACCCGUGGAGUGCUGGAGUUCACUUGUGCCACCUUUCUUCUGGCACGUUUUGGCGAGCUCCGGAGGCCCUCUGCAUGGUGCCCGGGACGUCCACGUCGUGCCCCGGCUCUCGCUGCACGCGCAACUUCUACACGUUCGCGGCUGAGGAGUGCCCGCCGACGUGGCCACCGCCGCAGCCACCUCCUCACGGCCGGGCUAGCUCGUCCUCCCCGCGUCCUACAUAAACGCACACUCGUCAUCGGCAACAGCACACAGAAUCAACAGCCCACAACGAACCAAGUGUGA
Molecule: ribosomal RNA, 447 nt
Filed under: Triticum aestivum (bread wheat)
Lineage: Eukaryota; Viridiplantae; Streptophyta; Magnoliopsida; Poales; Poaceae
Description: partial small subunit ribosomal RNA
Source: RNAcentral